AUGAGAAGAUCUCAAAAAGAUGCAGCCUUUUGUGGCUCACUGCCCUCCUGUGUGGUCAACUGGGAGCCAUUCUGAGUUCACUGUCCCCAGGGGCAGAGCCCCCUGCCAUAGGAGUUAAUGCCUGGCCAUGGCUAGGGUGAGCUCAAAUUCUGGGCCUAGGGAGAAAGCCUCCCAUGUAGAAGUGCAAGGAAGUGAAGGAAGCCAAGAGGCCAGGUGAUCUGCUGAGUAACUGUAGUUGGGCUCUUUCAGUCCUGGAAAACUGACUUGUCCUUUUUUUCCUUGUUUAGGUUCCAGCUGGGGUGAGAGCAGCUCAGGGAGAAUAACAAAUUGGCUUGUUCUGAAAAACCUUACACCUCAGAUCGAUGGCUCAACUCUGCGCACUCUGUGCAUGCAGCACGGCCCGCUGAUCACAUUCCACCUGAACCUCCCUCACGGAAAUGCUCUGGUCCGCUACAGUUCAAAAGAAGAGGUAGUGAAGGCACAAAAGUCUCUGCACAUGUGUGUACUGGGGAACACUACUAUUCUUGCUGAGUUUGCCAGUGAAGAGGAGAUCAGUCGUUUCUUUGCACAAAGCCAGUCUCUGACCCCUUCUCCCGGCUGGCAGUCUCUCGGGUCCAGCCAGAGCCGGCUGGGCUCCCUCGACUGUUCCCACUCAUUCUCCAGCCGGACCGAUCUCAAUCACUGGAAUGGUGCUGGGCUGUCGGGAACUAACUGUGGAGACCUUCACGGCACUUCACUCUGGGGGACCCCGCAUUAUUCCACAAGCCUGUGGGGUCCUCCAAGCAGCAGCGACCCCCGAGGAAUUAGCAGCCCAUCUCCCAUUAACGCUUUUCUUUCUGUUGACCACCUGGGUGGGGGUGGAGAGUCCAUGUAACAGUGUAGAUGCAGACUCACCGACCGGGACCUCAGACGCGAGGGAAAGGAGCACUAAGUGGGGCUCGCCGCCUGCAGCCAGGGGCCGCCUGUGGGAACAGCUAUUCUCUGCACAUUUUCCACUUUGUUUUCCCCAAAACAUAUCAGUUUGAAUACUUGAAUCAUGCAGGCCAAUAUUAUAAUGUGAAAAGGUAUCUACUCUAUUUACACUCCCAAAUAGCGCCAUACAUGCUAAACCGUAGAGAAUGAGCUCGCUUGUGUCUAUUCAUCAUGUUUAGCCUUUGGAUUCUUUUUUUUUUUUUUUUUUUUCCUUCUAUUCCUCCCCACCCCCGCCCCUUUUUUUCUCUCUUGCAAAACCAUUUUUUGGGCUGAUAACGUAUGAGCUUUUCCCUUUGCACUGAAUGAUGUUCUCUCCGUCUCAUCGGCAGUAUGGGGGGCAGCUGUCCCAGUGUCAAUGUUUACUCAAGGGUGUUCUUAGGAGGCGUGCGCUCUCUACUAUGCCUUGAUGUUGCCUACCUUAUUGUGGUAUCGUGGAGUUUAAAAGAUCAAGUUAGGAUGCUGACUUAGGAUUAUUAAUGAAAGUGUUGCACCAGUUUUUUCAUGUUGUAAAACUAAAGAAUUUCGCUCUGCAGUUUGAAAAACUGUGGCCACAGCUGUGACUUGCAGCCCACCUGCCACCCAGGACGGGCCCUGCACUUUGAAUAGGCUUUCCAUUUUGUUUUGGAGGUUCUCACGUUGAACCUUCUUGUUUACAGAUUUUUUUGUUUGUUUUUUGAGAAAAAAAAUGUUUACUCUUCCAUCAUUUAAAAAAAAUGUAAAAGACAAAAAAAAAUGGAGGAUGAUUUAAAAGAUGCUUUCUAUCUCUGGGAAAAAGGAGCAGCAUUUGGCCAUGUUCUUUUGUUUUUCUAUUCCUGUCCCAAAUCAAAGAGCAUGGUUCUCAGGAAAACCAGUUCCCCAGUUAAAAAAAAAAAAAAAAAAAAAAAAAAAAAAAA
RNAcentral lists this small RNA (1865 nucleotides) under Pongo abelii (Sumatran orangutan). RNAcentral describes it as "retained intron". The record is from RNAcentral. Lineage: Eukaryota; Metazoa; Chordata; Mammalia; Primates; Hominidae.